Molecule: small RNA, 53 nt
Filed under: Caenorhabditis elegans
Lineage: Eukaryota; Metazoa; Nematoda; Chromadorea; Rhabditida; Rhabditidae
Description: Unclassified non-coding RNA C26E6.15
Source: RNAcentral
GGCGAGGCGCGCGCGCGCAAACAGACGGAAGAACACAUGAUGUGUGAGAGAAG